AUUGAACGCUGGCGGAAUGCUUUACACAUGCAAGUCGAACGAUGAACCUUAGCUUGCUAAGGGGAUUAGUGGCGAACGGGUGAGUAAUGUAUCGGAACGUAUCCAAUAAUGGGGGAUAACUAGUCGAAAGAUUAGCUAAUACCACAUACGUCCUACGGGAGAAAGCUAGGGACCUUCGGGCCUGGCGUUAAUGGAGCGGCCGAUAUCUGAUUAGCUAGUUGGUGGGGUAAAGGCUCACCAAGGCGACGAUCAGUAGCUGGUCUGAGAGGACGACCAGCCACACUGGAACUGAGACACGGUCCAGACUCCUACGGGAGGCAGCAGUGGGGAAUUUUGGACAAUGGGCGAAAGCCUGAUCCAGCCAUUCCGCGUGAGUGAAGAAGGCCUUCGGGUUGUAAAGCUCUUUCGCAAGAGAAGAAAACUUAAGCUCUAACAUAGCUUGAGGCUGACGGUACCUUGAUAAGAAGCACCGGCUAACUACGUGCCAGCCGCCGCAGUAA
RNAcentral lists this ribosomal RNA (500 nucleotides) under uncultured bacterium. RNAcentral describes it as "partial 16S ribosomal RNA". It matches the Rfam family "Bacterial small subunit ribosomal RNA", at positions 30 to 523 of the family's 1533-position model. The record is from RNAcentral.